GAUGAACGCUGGCGGCGUGCCUAAUACAUGCAAGUCGAGCGAUCAGACGAGGAGCUUGCUCCUCUGACGUUAGCGGCGGACGGGUGAGUAACACGUGGAUAACCUACCUAUAAGACUGGGAUAACCUCGGGAAACCGGCUCUAAUACCGGAUAAUAUAUUGAACCGCAUGGUUCAGUAGUGAAAGACGGUUUUGCUGUCACUUAUAGAUGGAUCCGCGCCGCAUUAGCUAGUUGGUAUGGUAACGGCUUACCAAGGCAACGAUGCGUAGCCGACCUGAGAGGGUGAUCGGCCACACUGGAACAGAGACACGGUCCAGACUCCUACGGGAGGCAGCGGUAGGGAAGCUUCCGCAAUGGGCGAAAGCCUGACGGAGCAACGCAGCGUGAGUGAUGAAGGUCUUCGGAUCGUAAAGCUCUGUUAUUAGGGAGGAACAAAUGUGUAAGUAACUAUGCUCGUCUUGACGGUACCUAAUCAGAAAGCCACGGCUAACUACGUG
RNAcentral lists this ribosomal RNA (497 nucleotides) under uncultured bacterium. Its description in RNAcentral is "partial 16S ribosomal RNA". It matches the Rfam family "Bacterial small subunit ribosomal RNA", at positions 28 to 507 of the family's 1533-position model. The record is from RNAcentral.